Molecule: ribosomal RNA, 232 nt
Filed under: uncultured bacterium
Lineage: Bacteria
Description: partial 16S ribosomal RNA
Rfam family: Bacterial small subunit ribosomal RNA
Source: RNAcentral
GAUCAUGGCUCAGGAUGAACGCUAGCUACAGGCUUAACACAUGCAAGUCGAGGGGAAACGGCAUUGAGUGCUUGCACUCUUUGGACGUCGACCGGCGCACGGGUGAGUAACGCGUAUCCAACCUUCCCAUUACUGUGGGAUAACCUGCCGAAAGGCAGACUAAUACCGCAUAGUCUUCGUUGACGGCAUCAGAUUUGAAGUAAAGAUUUAUCGGUAAUGGAUGGGGAUGCGU